Apis dorsata (giant honeybee) is the source of this 585-nucleotide long non-coding RNA. RefSeq lists it as uncharacterized. NCBI's taxonomy places the organism in Eukaryota, Metazoa, Arthropoda, Insecta, Hymenoptera, Apidae. The record is from RefSeq and is a predicted model, not a curated record. The transcript has 2 exons.
UUGAGAAAAAACACGUUGACAAUAUGAUGUAAUCGGUUUGAUUGUACAGAUUUUCGAUAAUGAAGAAAUUUUAUAAAGUUUUGAGAAGAAGGAUUCUGUGAGAUUAUUUCGAUACAAUGAUUAUUAUCGAUUGAUCGAAGUUUUAGAAUCGAACGAUUCGAUAGAGAAUCGAAUAAGAGGAUUUGGCAAAGUUUUUUAGUCGCAUUCUUUUCGAGUAAGAAUGAAGAUGGAAGAUGGUGGUGAGGCAAGGUUGGGAUUUGGAGGUGUGCACGGUUGGUGAGGAAUUUUUGGGGAGUGGUUAUAGGUGUGGUGAAUAGGUUUCAGCGAGAAGUGUUGUUUAGAUGAGCAGAAUUUUUAGAUGUGAUUACUUGUCGUAAUUGAUAAAGGCAUUCAUAUUGGAAGCUUGACAGGAAUCGUAACAGAUUUUCUACACUUAAUAUCUACAUAAAUAGAACAAAUAUAGAACAUGUGUCAAGCUGAUAUAACGCAAAACAGUUUCACGAAAGCCAAACGAACUUCUUCCACUUAAGAUAAAUGAAAAUAAAUGAAAAGAUAUACAUGUUUGAAAAUCUACAAACAAAUCUA